GAUGAACGCUGGCGGCGUGCUUAACACAUGCAAGUCGAACGAAGCACCUUAUUCUGAUUUCUUCGGAAUGAAAAAUUUGGUGACUGAGUGGCGGACGGGUGAGUAACGCGUGGGUAACCUGCCUCAUACAGGGGGAUAACAGUUAGAAAUGACUGCUAAUACCGCAUAAGACCACAGCACCGCAUGGUGCAGGCGUAAAAACUCCGGUGGUAUGAGAUGGACCCGCGUCUGAUUAGGUAGUGGGUGGGGUAACGGCCUACCAAGCCGACGAUCAGUAGCCGACCUGAGAGGGUGACCGGACACAUUGGGACUGAGACACGGCCCAAACUCCGACGGGAGGCAGCAGUGGGGAAGAUUGCACAAUGGGGGAAACCCUGAUGCAGCGACGCCGCGUGAGCGAUGAAGUAUUUCGGUAUGUAAAGCUCUAUCAGCAGGGAAGAAGAAAUGACGGUACCUGACUAAGAAGCACCGGCUAAAUACGUGCCAGCCGCCGCAGUAA
RNAcentral lists this ribosomal RNA (499 nucleotides) under uncultured bacterium. Its description in RNAcentral is "partial 16S ribosomal RNA". It matches the Rfam family "Bacterial small subunit ribosomal RNA", at positions 28 to 523 of the family's 1533-position model. The record is from RNAcentral.